Molecule: ribosomal RNA, 439 nt
Filed under: uncultured bacterium
Lineage: Bacteria
Description: partial 16S ribosomal RNA
Rfam family: Bacterial small subunit ribosomal RNA
Source: RNAcentral
CCUACGGGAGGCAGCAGUGGGGAAUAUUGCACAAUGGGGGGAACCCUGAUGCAGCGACGCCGCGUGAGUGAAGAAGUAUUUCGGUAUGUAAAGCUCUAUCAGCAGGGAAGAAAAUGACGGUACCUGACUAAGAAGCCCCGGCUAACUACGUGCCAGCAGCCGCGGUAAUACGUAGGGGGCAAGCGUUAUCCGGAUUUACUGGGUGUAAAGGGUGCGCAGACGGAGGUGCAAGUCAGCGGUCAAAUUGCGGGGCUCAACCCCGUACUGCCGUUGAAACUGCAUACCUUGAGUGCGCGAGAAGUAUGCGGAAUGCGUGGUGUAGCGGUGAAAUGCAUAGAUAUCACGCAGAACACCGAUUGCGAAGGCAGCAUACCGGCGUGCAACUGACGCUCAUGCACGAAAGCGUGGGUAGCGAACAGGAUUAGAUACCCGGGUAGUC